UCCGGAAAAUCAAGGCUGAGGCGUGAUGACGAGGCACUACGGUGCUGAAGCAACAAAUGCCCUGCUUCCAGGAAAAGCCUCUAAGCAUCAGGUAACAUCAAAUCGUACCCCAAACCGACACAGGUGGUCAGGUAGAGAAUACCAAGGCGCUUGAGAGAACUCGGGUGAAGGAACUAGGCAAAAUGGUGCCGUAACUUCGGGAGAAGGCACGCUGAUAUGUAGGUGAAGUCCCUCGCGGAUGGAGCUGAAAUCAGUCGAAGAUACCAGCUGGCUGCAACUGUUUAUUAAAAACACAGCACUGUGCAAACACGAAAGUGGACGUAUACGGUGUGACGCCUGCCCGGUGCCGGAAGGUUAAUUGAUGGGGUUAGCGCAAGCGAAGCUCUUGAUCGAAGCCCC
This 399-nucleotide ribosomal RNA is filed under the name Escherichia coli. RNAcentral describes it as "bacterial LSU rRNA". It matches the Rfam family "Bacterial large subunit ribosomal RNA", at positions 1541 to 1921 of the family's 2925-position model. Lineage: Bacteria; Pseudomonadati; Pseudomonadota; Gammaproteobacteria; Enterobacterales; Enterobacteriaceae. The record is from RNAcentral.